Molecule: long non-coding RNA, 348 nt
Filed under: Mytilus galloprovincialis (Mediterranean mussel)
Lineage: Eukaryota; Metazoa; Mollusca; Bivalvia; Mytilida; Mytilidae
Source: RNAcentral
CCUACCUCAAAAUCGCCGUUUUGAUGUAAUUUUAUCAAAAUUUGAAUCGUACAAGUAACGUUAUGACCUUCAGUUUGUUACUUUUCAUUUAUAUGACGUCACGUUUAGUCAUAACGUCUUUGUGCAAAAACCAUUCAUGAAGUUUCGCGGAGUUUUAUUUUAUUUCAUAAAUGUACAUUUUUAUGCCCCCGCCGUAGCAAAGGGGGCAUUGAGUUAUAUCCUUGUCUGUUUGUACGUAGAUCCGAAUGUACGUAUCAUAGUGUACGUCCGUUUUUACAAAAUUGGUUUCCAUUCUCUACCUUUAGUUUUCCUCAACCAACUGAUAUAAAACUUAUGCACAAUGCUUUU